UAAGGAAUAUUGGACAAUGGGCGAAAGCCUGAUCCAGCCAUUCCGCGUGUAGGAUGACGGCCCUCUGGGUUGUAAACUACUUUUAUUUGGGAAGAAACCCUGGGAUUUAUCCCGGGCUGACGGUACCAAAAGAAUAAGCACCGGCUAAUUCCGUGCCAGCAGCCGCGGUAAUACGGAAGGUGCAAGCGUUAUCCGGAAUCACUGGGUUUAAAGGGUGCGUAGGCGGUUGCGUAAGUCAGAAGUGAAAGCUCACAGCUUAACUGUGGAAUUGCUUUUGAUACUGCGCGACUAGAAUUUAGGUUGAGGUUGGCGGAAUGUGACAUGUAGCGGUGAAAUGCAUAGAUAUGUCAUAGAACRCSAAUUGCGAAGGCAGCUGACUGGACCUAUAUU
This 390-nucleotide ribosomal RNA is filed under the name uncultured Bacteroidota bacterium. RNAcentral describes it as "bacterial SSU rRNA". It matches the Rfam family "Bacterial small subunit ribosomal RNA", at positions 355 to 741 of the family's 1533-position model. Lineage: Bacteria; Pseudomonadati; Bacteroidota. The record is from RNAcentral.